RNAcentral lists this ribosomal RNA (433 nucleotides) under uncultured bacterium. Its description in RNAcentral is "partial 16S ribosomal RNA". It matches the Rfam family "Bacterial small subunit ribosomal RNA", at positions 29 to 507 of the family's 1533-position model. The record is from RNAcentral.
AGCGAACGCUGGCGGCAGGCUUAACACAUGCAAGUCGAGCGGGCCCUUCGGGGUCAGCGGCGGACGGGUGAGUAACGCGUGGGAACGUGCCUUCUGGUCUGGAAUAACCCUGGGAAACUAGGGCUCAUACCGGAUACGCCCUUUUGGGGUAAGGUUUACUGCCGUAAGAUCGGCCCGCGUCUGAUUAGCUAGUUGGUGGGGUAACGGCCUACCAAGGCGACGAUCAGUAGCUGGUCUGUGAGGAUGAUCAGCCACACUGGGACUGAGACACGGCCCAGACUCCUACGGGAGGUAGCAGUGGGGAAUAUUGGACAAUGGGCGCAAGCCUGAUCCAGCCAUGCCGCGUGAGUGAUGAAGGCCUUAGGGUUGUAAAGCUCUUUUAUCCGGGACGAUAAUGACGGUACCGGAGGAAUAAGCCCCGGCUAACUUCGUG